GGCGACGUCUUGACUUUGACUACAAAAAGAAGAAGCAAGCAAAAGAUUGGUGGGUUGAGUAAGAUCAAGACCCACACAAUCACCAAGGAGCUCUCCAAACCCUGGAUGCUGGAUGAGGAAGCAGCCUGGAGACCAAAAGUUUCCUUGGAAGAUCAGCAAGGAAGAAGUCACCACCGUCAAAGAGAAGGCUUGAUCCUACUCAUCGAUCACCUCAUCUCCAUGAAAUCCAACUGAGAGAAAUGCAAACUGCGCAUCUUUGCCACCACGGGCAUGAAGGAGCAAAUGGACAGGGAGAAGAUGAACAUGGCCAUCAU
Patiria miniata (bat star) is the source of this 314-nucleotide long non-coding RNA. RefSeq lists it as uncharacterized. The transcript has 3 exons. NCBI's taxonomy places the organism in Eukaryota, Metazoa, Echinodermata, Asteroidea, Valvatida, Asterinidae. The record is from RefSeq and is a predicted model, not a curated record.